CCCAACGAGAUAUCCAAACCUCAAGGAGGGGCGCCAACUCCAUUACAUGGAUUAAAGUGGCGUGUCCUCAACAACGUAAUCAAAUAGAUUGCGGGUAUUUCAUGUUGAGGUUUAUGCGAGAUACUCUUGCUUUGGGCCGAUUAAAGAUUCUCACCGAUUACUUUGAUGAAUUCAAGUGUGCAUUUUAUACAAAGGAUCAAGUGGACGAAAUCAAAGAGGAGUGGUGUCAAUUCAUGAUAAAGCU
This is a long non-coding RNA of Lathyrus oleraceus (garden pea), 244 nucleotides long. RefSeq lists it as uncharacterized. The record is from RefSeq and is a predicted model, not a curated record. NCBI's taxonomy places the organism in Eukaryota, Viridiplantae, Streptophyta, Magnoliopsida, Fabales, Fabaceae. The transcript is spliced from 3 exons.